CACUCCUUGUGACCAUUUUGGAUAAUCCACACUGCCUCAUCAAACCAGAAAACAAUUCAAACCUGGCCUGCUUGUAACUGAAAGCCACAUUUUAAGAACUUAUUGUGAAGAAACUGGAAAGCCUCCAAUAGAACAUAAGCUAAAAGACAAAAUUAUAAAAAGCUCUAUUAUAUGUUGGAAAAACUGAACAAGAGAAACAAUUAUAUACACUAUCUCUUCUGGAAAAGCUGGAUUGGGUUUUGGUCUGUAUCAAUAGGGUCCAUUAUACAGCACAAGGCUGCCUCUCCUGCUCUCCAGUCAUACUUCCAAGAAAACUGCUCACUCUCAGAACCAAGGUUCAAUUUAUACAUUGUGGUUUGGGUAAAGGCUAUAUAUGUAGUGAUGCCCAUGCUACCCCUGAUAUCUAAAAAUCUAAGAUGAAAACGUGCACACAGUCUUGGCAGCAUUGGGGUAAUAGACUAUGAAAGAAGAAAGCAGAUUGGAAAAGUCAGUAUAUCAAUUAAGAAAAUAAUCACUCAAGGAGAGGAAUAAACAGCAAAGCAAUCUA
Long non-coding RNA from Macaca mulatta (Rhesus monkey), 547 nucleotides. RefSeq lists it as uncharacterized. The record is from RefSeq and is a predicted model, not a curated record. Lineage: Eukaryota; Metazoa; Chordata; Mammalia; Primates; Cercopithecidae.